UACGGGGGGGGCAAGCGUUGUUCGGAAUUACUGGGCGUAAAGGGUGCGUAGGCGGUUUUCUAAGUCGGGUGUGAAAUCCUGCGGCUUAACCGCAGGGCUGCCUUCUAAACUGACAGGCUAGAGCACAGUAGAGGCAGGUGGAAUUCCUGGUGUAGCGGUGAAAUGCGCAGAUAUCAGGAGGAACACCAAUGGCGAAGGCAGCUCGCUGGGACGUGACUGACGCUGAGACGCGAAAGCGUGGGGAGCAAACAGG
RNAcentral lists this ribosomal RNA (253 nucleotides) under uncultured bacterium. Its description in RNAcentral is "partial 16S ribosomal RNA". It matches the Rfam family "Bacterial small subunit ribosomal RNA", at positions 524 to 776 of the family's 1533-position model. The record is from RNAcentral.